Molecule: long non-coding RNA, 681 nt
Organism: Silurus meridionalis
Lineage: Eukaryota; Metazoa; Chordata; Actinopteri; Siluriformes; Siluridae
Exons: 3
Source: RefSeq, a predicted model, not a curated record
CCCUAUAAACACAAGUCUGUGCGCUGUAGUACCAGAUCAUAACACUACUUACCACUUUCAGUUCUCAGAGAAGGAGAAAAAAAAAUGCAUUAUUACGUCAGGGGCGGGGCUGAAAAGAGCGCGCGGGAAGCACACAAGUCAGACAGAGGGAGGAGGAGGAGGAAGAAGGAGGAUAAAACAUGGCGGCUGUAUAGUGUGACAGCCAUUCAGACAAUGUUAAAAAACGACCAUUUCUUUGUGCAUUGAGUUAUUUAAAUCAUAACAACUCAUCAUUUUUAUUCUGCAGACCUCAUUGAAUUAAAGAACUUACCUUGAUCAUAAGUGCGAUAUCGGCGAUACUCGGCGCACAUCGAAAACCCGCGCGCUUCGACUGUCUUGAUUGGCGGGUGUCACGUGGCGAGGCGGUUUCCCGCGUUGGGCGAUGUGCCAUCCUGUGGCCAGACUGCGGAACAGCUCUGUGGUUCUUCUUAUUGUCCUACAUCGCCCCCUAAUGGCAAACAUGCUUAAAAACAGUUUUAUUGUAAUGCUGAGGGAUAUGAACAGUCAGCCUUCUACCAUUAUAUGAUUUCGGCAAUUAACAUGCACCCAAUUAAUGGGAUUAAAACGUUUUAGGCAAAAAAAACUACAUAAAUGUGGCAUUUCAUCAUUGUUUAUAUUGAUACAAUUAUAACAAUAAAAAUG